RNAcentral lists this ribosomal RNA (599 nucleotides) under uncultured Bacteroidota bacterium. Its description in RNAcentral is "bacterial SSU rRNA". It matches the Rfam family "Bacterial small subunit ribosomal RNA", at positions 165 to 762 of the family's 1533-position model. Lineage: Bacteria; Pseudomonadati; Bacteroidota. The record is from RNAcentral.
AAUACCCAAUGAUAUCUCAAGAAGACAUCUGAAUGAGAUUAAAGAUUCAUCGGUGAUGGAUGGGGAUGCGUCUGAUUAGCUUGUUGGCGGGGUAACGGCCCACCAAGGCUACGAUCAGUAGGGGUUCUGAGAGGAAGGUCCCCCACAUUGGAACUGAGACACGGUCCAAACUCCUACGGGAGGCAGCAGUGAGGAAUAUUGGUCAAUGGGCGAGAGCCUGAACCAGCCAAGUAGCGUGCAGGAUGACGGCCCUAUGGGUUGUAAACUGCUUUUAUAAGGGAAUAAAGUGAGCCUCGUGAGGCUUUUUGCAUGUACCUUAUGAAUAAGGACCGGCUAAUUCCGUGCCAGCAGCCGCGGUAAUACGGAAGGUCCGGGCGUUAUCCGGAUUUAUUGGGUUUAAAGGGAGCGUAGGCCGGAGAUUAAGCGUGUUGUGAAAUGUAGACGCUCAACGUCUGCACUGCAGCGCGAACUGGUUUCCUUGAGUACGCACAAAGUGGGCGGAAUUCGUGGUGUAGCGGUGAAAUGCUUAGAUAUCACGAAGAACUCCGAUAGCGAAGGCAGCUCAUUGGAGCGCAACUGACGAUGAAGCUCGAAAGUGC